Molecule: ribosomal RNA, 250 nt
Filed under: uncultured bacterium
Lineage: Bacteria
Description: partial 16S ribosomal RNA
Rfam family: Bacterial small subunit ribosomal RNA
Source: RNAcentral
GACGUAGGGGGCCAGCGUUGCUCGGAAUUACUGGGCGUAAAGGGUCCGUAGGCGGUGCGGCAAGUCGGGGGUGAAAUCUCUGGGCUUAACUCAGAGGCUGCCUCCGAAACUGCCGUGCUCGAGUGCGGGAGAGGCGAGCGGAAUUGCAGGUGUAGCGGUGAAAUGCGUAGAUAUCUGCAGGAACACCCGUGGCGAAGGCGGCUCGCUGGACCGUGACUGACGCUGAGGGACGAAAGCUAGGGGAGCAAAC